Molecule: small RNA, 107 nt
Filed under: Salmonella enterica
Lineage: Bacteria; Pseudomonadati; Pseudomonadota; Gammaproteobacteria; Enterobacterales; Enterobacteriaceae
Also listed under: 1 other name
Description: partial RtT sRNA
Rfam family: RtT RNA
About the family: This family represents a bacterial cis-regulatory element known as RtT RNA.
Source: RNAcentral
UAUCUCUCCGUACGGGGAAGGAUGAGAAGCUUCGACUAAGGUUCGAUUCGAGCGCAGCGAGAAAGCGUUGCCGUAGGCAACGACCCGAAGGGCGAAGCGCGCAGCGC